AAACUUUUCUUUUCCCAUUUCAGUUCACUUCUUUACAUGUUCUAUUGCUCACUAUAACUGUCUAAUUUGAUCCUAAGAACUUUUUUCUGUGUGUUGUAUGAAAAAGAUUCAAUCUUUUGGCAUUUGAAGCUAAAGGGGUUGUUCAGAUUACCUCAGUUCAUUUCUUUCUGUAUGUUGUAUGAAAAAGAUUCAAUCUUUUGGAAUUUGAAGCUAAAGGGGUUGUUUAGAUUACCUCAAUUCAUUUUGAUAGCUAGUGUUUUGAUCUGAGUGCCCCAUCUUAUUUAAAAUUUGUUCUUCAGUUUGGUGUAGCAUGGUUAGGUACUUUGAGGGGAAGUGACAAAGAUAGACAAUGAGCAGGUCUAGAAGGUUCUUGAAUGAAAGG
RNAcentral lists this long non-coding RNA (382 nucleotides) under Solanum tuberosum (potato). Its description in RNAcentral is "long non-coding RNA (STUB_LNC001976)". Lineage: Eukaryota; Viridiplantae; Streptophyta; Magnoliopsida; Solanales; Solanaceae. The record is from RNAcentral.